Molecule: ribosomal RNA, 454 nt
Filed under: uncultured bacterium
Lineage: Bacteria
Description: partial 16S ribosomal RNA
Rfam family: Bacterial small subunit ribosomal RNA
Source: RNAcentral
GAUGAACGCUGACAGCAUGCUUAACACAUGCAGGUCAACUUGAACUUCGGUUUGGGUGGCGGACGGGUGAGUAACGCGUAAAGAACUUGCCUCACAGUUAGGGACAACAUUUGCAAACGAAUGCUAAUACCUGAUAUUAUGAUUUUAGGGCAUCAUAGAAUUAUGAAAGCUAUAUGCGCUGUGAGAGAGCUUUGCGUCCCAUUAGCUAGUUGGUGAGGUAACGGCUCACCAAGGCGAUGAUGGGUAGCCGGCCUGAGGGGGUGAACGGCCACAAGGGGACUGCGACACGGCUCUUACUCUUACGGGAGGCAGCAGUGGGGAAUCUUGGUCUAUGGACCAAGAGUCUGAUCCAGCGAUUCUGUGUGCACGAUGAAGUUUUUCGGAAUGUAAAGUUCUUUCAUUUGGGAAGAAUAAAAUGACGGUACCAACAGAAGAAGUGACGGCUAAUUACGUU